AUCUGGGAGGCCACAAACCAUGGAAGCUGUACGCAUGGCGUAGUGGACUAGCGGUUAGAGGAGACCCCUCCCUUGCAAGUCGCAGCAACAAUGGGGGCCCAAGGUGAGAUGAAGCUGUAAUCUCACUGGAAGGACUAGAGGUUAGAGGAGACCCCCCCGAAAUAAAAAACAG
RNAcentral lists this long non-coding RNA (172 nucleotides) under dengue virus type 2. RNAcentral's name for it is "Dengue virus type 2 partial sfRNA3". The stretch from base 93 to 164 matches the Rfam family "Flavivirus DB element". The record is from RNAcentral. Lineage: Riboviria; Orthornavirae; Kitrinoviricota; Flasuviricetes; Amarillovirales; Flaviviridae.